UUUCCUACGGGACGCAGCAGUGGGGAAUAUUGCACAAUGGGGGGAACCCUGAUGCAGCAAUGCCGCGUGGGUGAAGAAGUACUCCGGUAUGUAAAGCCCUGUCAGCAGGGAAGAAAAUGACGGUACCUGACUAAGAAGCCCCGGCUAACUACGUGCCAGCAGCCGCGGUAAUACGUAGGGGGCGAGCGUUAUCCGGAUUUACUGGGUGUAAAGGGAGCGCAGGCGGCGUGGCAAGUCAGAUGUGAAAACCCGGGGCCCAACCCCGGGACUGCAUUUGAAACUGCCAUGCUGGAGUGCCGGAGAGG
RNAcentral lists this ribosomal RNA (305 nucleotides) under uncultured bacterium. RNAcentral's name for it is "bacterial SSU rRNA". It matches the Rfam family "Bacterial small subunit ribosomal RNA", at positions 335 to 657 of the family's 1533-position model. The record is from RNAcentral.